Molecule: ribosomal RNA, 450 nt
Filed under: uncultured Glomus
Lineage: Eukaryota; Fungi; Glomeromycota; Glomeromycetes; Glomerales; Glomeraceae
Description: SSU rRNA
Rfam family: Eukaryotic small subunit ribosomal RNA
Source: RNAcentral
AGCAGCCGCGGUAAUUCCAGCUCCAAUAGCGUAUAUUAAAGUUGUUGCAGUUAAAAAGCUCGUAGUUGAAUUUCGGGAUCAGUACGCUGGUCGUGCCUCUGGUAUGUACUGGUGUCACUGAUUCCUCCCUUCUGACGAACCAUCAUGCCAUUCACUUGGUGUGGUGGGAAAUCAGGACUGUUACUUUGAAAAAUUAGAGUGUUUAAAGCAGGCUCACGCUUGAAUACAUUAGCAUGGAAUAAUGAAAUAGGACGUUGAUCCUAUUUUGUUGGUUUCUAGGAUUGACGUAAUGAUUAAUAGGGAUAGUUGGGGGCAUUAGUAUUCAAUUGUCAGAGGUGAAAUUCUUGGAUUUAUUGAAGACUAACUACUGCGAAAGCAUUUGCCAAGGAUGUUUUCAUUAAUCAAGAACGAAAGUUAGGGGAUCGAAGACGAUCAGAUACCGUCGUAGUC